Molecule: long non-coding RNA, 1581 nt
Filed under: Carassius auratus (goldfish)
Lineage: Eukaryota; Metazoa; Chordata; Actinopteri; Cypriniformes; Cyprinidae
Description: lncRNA (ENSCARG00000042839.1)
Source: RNAcentral
ACCAGCCCCAGCAAGACCAGCCCUAGACCAGCCCAGCAAGACCAGCCCCUAGACCAGCCCCAGCAAGACCAGCCCCUAAACCAGCCCCAGCAAGACCAGCCCCUAAACCAGCCCCAGCAAGACCAGCCCCUAAACCAGCCCCAGCAAGACCAGCCCCAGCAAGACCAGCCUCUAAACCAGCCCCAGCAAGACCAGCCCCUAAACCAGCCCCAGCAAGACCAGCCCCUAGACCAGCCCCAGCAAGACCAGCCCCUAGACCAGCCCCAGCAAGACCAGCCCCUAAACCAGCCCCAGCAAGACCAGCCCCUAAAACCAGCCCCAGCAAGACCAGCCCCUAGACCAGCCCCAGCAAGACCAGCCCCUAAACCAGCCCCAGCAAGACCAGCCUCUAAACCAGCCCAAGCAAGACCAGCCCCAGCAAGACCAGCCCCUAAACCAGCCCCAGCAAGACCAGCCCCUAGACCAGCCCCAGCAAGACCAGCCCCUAAACCAGCCCCAGCAAGACCAGCCUCUAAACCAGCCCCAGCAAGACCAGCCCCAGCAAGACCAGCCCCUAAACCAGCCCCAGCAAGACCAGCCCCAGCAAGACCAGCCCCUAGACCAGCCCCAGCAAGACCAGCCCCUAAACCAGCCCCAGCAAGACCAGCCCCAGCAAGACCAGCCCCUAAACCAGCCCCAGCAAGACCAGCCCCUAGACCAGCCCCAGCAAGACCAGCCCUAAACCAGCCCCAGCAAGACCAGCCCCUAGACCAGCCCCAGCAAGACCAGCCCCUAAACCAGCCCCAGCAAGACCAGCCCCUAAACCCAGCCCCAGCAAGACCAGCCCCAGCAAGACCAGCCCCUAAACCAGCCCCAGCAAGACCAGCCCCAGCAAGACCAGCCCCUAAACCAGCCCAGCAAGGACCAGCCCCUAGACCAGCCCCAGCAAGACCAGCCCCUAAACCAGCCCCAGCAAGACCAGCCCCUAAACCAGCCCCAGCAAGACCAGCCCCAGCAAGACCAGCCCCUAGACCAGCCCCAGCAAGACCAGCCCCUAAACCAGCCCCAGCAAGACCAGCCCCUAGACCAGCCCCAGCAAGACCAGCCCCUAAACCAGCCCCAGCAAGACCAGCCCCUAGACCAGCCCCAGCAAGACCAGCCCCUAAACCAGCCCCAGCAAGACCAGCCCCUAAACCAGCCCCAGCAAGACCAGCCCCUAAACCAGCCCCAGCAAGACCAGCCCCUAAACCAGCCCCAGCAAGACCAGCCCCAGCAAGACCAGCCCCUAAACCAGCCCCAGCAAGACCAGCCCCUAGACCAGCCCCAGCAAGACCAGCCCCUAAACCAGCCCCAGCAAGACCAGCCCCUAAACCAGCCCCAGCAAGACCAGCCCCAGCAAGACCAGCCCCUAGACCAGCCCCAGCAAGACCAGCCCCUAAACCAGCCCCAGCAAGACCAGCCCCUAGACCAGCCCCAGCAAGACCAGCCCCUAAACCAGCCCCAGCAAGACCAGCCCCUAGACCAGCCCCAGCAAGACCAGCCCCAGCAAGACCAGCCCCUAGACCAGCUAAUCCCACAAGACCACCAACUGAUUACACUUGA